RNAcentral lists this ribosomal RNA (253 nucleotides) under uncultured bacterium. RNAcentral's name for it is "partial 16S ribosomal RNA". It matches the Rfam family "Bacterial small subunit ribosomal RNA", at positions 524 to 776 of the family's 1533-position model. The record is from RNAcentral.
CACGUAGGGCGCAAGCGUUGUCCGGAAUUAUUGGGCGUAAAGGGCUCGUAGGCGGUUCGUCACGUCGGGAGUGAAAACUCGGGGCUUAACCCCGAGCCUGCUUCCGAUACGGGCAGACUAGAGGUAGGCAGGGGAGAGCGGAACUCCUGGUGUAGCGGUGGAAUGCGCAGAUAUCAGGAAGAACACCGGUGGCGAAGGCGGCUCUCUGGGCCUUACCUGACGCUGAGGAGCGAAAGCGUGGGUAGCGAACAGG